This is a small nuclear RNA of Fukomys damarensis (Damara mole-rat), 103 nucleotides long. The record is from Ensembl. Lineage: Eukaryota; Metazoa; Chordata; Mammalia; Rodentia; Bathyergidae.
GUGCCUGCUUCAGCUGCACAUAUGCUGCAUGUGGAACAAUACGGAGAUUAGCAUGGCCCUGCACAAGGAUGGCAGACAACUUUGUGAAGUGUUCCACACUUUG